GCGAAAACUUUACAAUGCUGGCAACAGCGAUAAGGGAACCCCGAGUGCCAGGUUACAAAUCUGGCUGUCGAGAUGCCUAAAAAGCAUUUCAUAGCAAGGGCCGGGCAAGACCGGUGCCAGCCGCCGCGGUAACACCGGCAGCUCAAGUGGUGGCCGUUUUUAUUGGGCCUAAAGCGUUCGUAGCCGGUUUGAUAAGUCUCUGGUGAAAUCCCGCAGCUCAACUGUGGGAAUUGCUGGAGAUACUAUCAGACUUGAGGUCGGGAGAGGUGAGAGGUACUUCAGGGGUAGGGGUGAAAUCUUGUAAUCCUUGAAGGACCACCAGUGGCGAAGGCGUCUCACCAGAACGGACCUGACGGCAAGGGACGAAAGCUAGGGGCACGAACC
Molecule: ribosomal RNA, 384 nt
Filed under: uncultured prokaryote
Description: bacterial SSU rRNA
Rfam family: Archaeal small subunit ribosomal RNA
Source: RNAcentral